RNAcentral lists this long non-coding RNA (925 nucleotides) under Homo sapiens (human). RNAcentral describes it as "mucin 4, cell surface associated (ENSG00000277585.5)". The record is from RNAcentral. Lineage: Eukaryota; Metazoa; Chordata; Mammalia; Primates; Hominidae.
CUCUUUUGUCCUCUUCCCAGGUUCCCUGGCCCCUUCGGAGAAACGCACUUGGUUCGGGCCAGCCGCCUGAGGGGACGGGCUCACGUCUGCUCCUCACACUGCAGCUGCUGGGCCGUGGAGCUUCCCCAGGGAGCCAGGGGGACUUUUGCCGCAGCCAUGAAGGGGGCACGCUGGAGGAGGGUCCCCUGGGUGUCCCUGAGCUGCCUGUGUCUCUGCCUCCUUCCGCAUGUGGUCCCAGCAGGCUAAGAACAGUCGCCGAGGGAAAAUAUUUCUUGGGCGCAUAUUUGAGGAGCUUCCUGGGAGUGAGUCAGAAGGCGAGUGCCGUUUAAAGGCUGCAAGAGAAGCCAUGCUGGUGAAGCGGACCCUUCCACCUCGGGAUGUUUCAGGACUAGGCUGAGGGCAAAGGAAACUGCCACCACCUCCCUACACCUCCCCACCCUCCAGCACCCCCACCCCACCCUGGCCACACAACCCCGCUCCAGUGCUCAUCCCACCGUGAGGACGUGGAGGCCGGAAGGAGCCGCCACACGGCCCUGCCCUGCAGAUGUGGUUGAAGGAGUCUCCACGGGAAUCAUGACUCCCAGAGCGAGGCUGGGGCUUGGGGCGCCGGGGAGGCAGCUUGGAUUUAGGAGCCCCAGGGCCAAGUCUUUGCCGUGAACUGUUCUGGCCCCUGUGACCAGGCCCUGCCCCGUGUCUCCCCAGGGCCCCGGUCCCCUGUGUAAAAAGCAGUGGUGAACGGUUGGACCUCCUGACGCCCAAGUUCUUGAGUUUCCAAAUCUGUGAUUUAAAGCUGAGCCCAAAUGUGCUGGGUACCAGCUGGACACUCAGCUCCAUGUGGAGCCAGGAAGUGGGGUCUGUGGAGAGGAGCGCAGAGGGGCAAGACCUGGGGUGGGCGUGGAAAAGCACGGGGGCGUGACCCGGAGAA